UGGGGGAUAUUGCACAAUGGGCGAAAGCCUGAUGCAGCGACGCCGCGUGGGGGAUGAAGGCCUUCGGGUUGUAAACUUCUUUUGCUCUGAACAAGGCAUGCCUUUGGGGUGGGUUGAGGGUAGGUGGAGAAGAAGCGCCGGCUAACUACGUGCCAGCAGCCGCGGUAAUACGUAGGGCGCGAGCGUUGUCCGGAAUUAUUGGGCGUAAAGGGCUUGUAGGCGGCUUGUUGCGCCUGCUGUGAAAACGCGGGGCUUAACUUCCCGCGUGCAGUGGGUACGGGCAGGCUUGAGUGUAGUAGGGGUGACUGGAAUUCCAGGUGUAGCGGUUGAAUGCGCAGAUAUCUGGAGGAACACCGAUGGCGAAGGCAGGUCGCUGGGCCAUUACUGACGCUGAGGAGCGAAAGCAUGGGUAGCGAACAGG
This 421-nucleotide ribosomal RNA is filed under the name Fusobacteriota bacterium. Its description in RNAcentral is "Fusobacteria bacterium partial 16S ribosomal RNA". It matches the Rfam family "Bacterial small subunit ribosomal RNA", at positions 355 to 776 of the family's 1533-position model. Lineage: Bacteria; Fusobacteriati; Fusobacteriota. The record is from RNAcentral.